RNAcentral lists this small RNA (24 nucleotides) under Arabidopsis thaliana (thale cress). The record is from RNAcentral. Lineage: Eukaryota; Viridiplantae; Streptophyta; Magnoliopsida; Brassicales; Brassicaceae.
UCUGGAGAGGGUCUUCCCCUGCCU